GAAUGGACCCGGUCCCAUCUCUUUGGGGAGGCAGCAGGUGGGAUAUGACAAUGGGCCAAGCUAUCCAACAAUGCGGGUGAGGAAAGAAAGCUUCGGGUUGUAAUGUUUUUUGUCAGGAAGAACGUGGAGGCUAUAUCUUUGCUAUGACGUACGUGAAGAUAAGCCCGCUACUACGUGCUAGCAGCGAGUAAUACGUAGGGUGCAGCGUAUCGAAUACUGGCGUAAAGCGUGCGCAGCGGUUUGUAAGUUGUCGUGAAAUCCCUGAGCUCAUCUGGGAAUGCGAUGAAGACUGCAAGACUAGAGUCUGGCAGAGGGGAGUAGAAUUCCACGUGUAGCAGUGAAAUGCGUAGAUAUGUGGAGGAACACCGAUGGCGAAGGCAGCCCAUGGGUCAAACUGACGCUCAUGCACGAAAGCGUGGGGAGCAAACAGGAUUAGAUACCAUGGUAGUCCACGCCCUAAACGAUGUCUACUAGUUGUCGGGUCUUAAUUGACUUGGUAACGCAGCUAACGCGUGAAGUAGACCGUUGGGGAGUACGGUCGCAAGAUUAAAACUCAAAGGAAUUGACGGGGACCCGCACAAGCGGUGGAUGAUGUGGAUUAAUUCGAUGCAACGCGAAAAACCUUACCUACCCUUGACAUGGCUGGAAUCCUUGAGAGAUCAGGGAGUGCCCGAAAGGGAGCCAGUACACAGGUGCUGCAUGGCUGUCGUCAGCUCGUGUCGUGAGAUGUUGGGUUAAGUCCCGCAACGAGCGCAACCCUUGUCAUUAGUUGCUACGAAAGAGCACUCUAAUGAGACUGCCGGUGACAAACCGGAGGAAGGUGGGGAUGACGUCAAGUCAUCAUGCCCCUUAUAUCUAGGGCUACACACGUGCUACAUUGGCGCGUACAGAGGGCUGCGAUACCGCGAGGUGGAGCGAAUCCCUUAAAGCGCGUCUCGGUUCGGAUUGCAGGCUGAAACCCGCCUGCAUGAAGGCGGAGUUGCUAGUAAUCGCGGAUCAGCAUUGCCGCGGUGAAUACGUUCCCGGGCCUUGUACACACCGCCCGUCACACCAUGGAAGCAAGCAACACCCGAAGCCGGUGGCCUAACCCCUUGUGGGAGGGAGCCGUCGAAGGUGUACUACUAUCCGAC
RNAcentral lists this ribosomal RNA (1130 nucleotides) under uncultured bacterium. RNAcentral describes it as "bacterial SSU rRNA". It matches the Rfam family "Bacterial small subunit ribosomal RNA", at positions 316 to 1475 of the family's 1533-position model. The record is from RNAcentral.